RNAcentral lists this unclassified non-coding RNA (540 nucleotides) under Hevea brasiliensis (rubber tree). Lineage: Eukaryota; Viridiplantae; Streptophyta; Magnoliopsida; Malpighiales; Euphorbiaceae. The record is from RNAcentral.
UGAUUGAGCAGAUUUUGGAGUUGAUUUCCAUAACUGGUGGGAAUAUGCAUAUGCCAUGGCUCUUUCUCUCUUGAUAGCUGCAUUCACCUUUCUCUGCAGCCUUGCCUCAAUUUCCUCUUUUGUUAGCAAGCUGUCAUCCCAAUCUUCAUUACCUGCCUCAGAAGCCAGGCUCCAUUUGCCCAAGGUACUCUCUACUUCUUUAUCAUUCCUGUAUUGAGCAUGAUGCCGUGCUUGGUUUUCCAACAUCUGGAUUCUCCGUGACUGAAUCUGAGAUUGGACCCGGACCAAUAGCUGCAUGCAUUUCAUUGCAUUCAUUGUCUGCCGUUUCACACUCUGUCCUCUUACCACUCCUUGAAGCCUGACCAGGCCCUUCAGUGAUCUAAAGCUCCUUCUUGCAGCAUAGCCUCUAUAGGCUGCUUGGAUCUUGGAUGAUGGUUCCUCAGAGUAGGUUCUGGUCUGUAGUAUGUCUCCUUAUGACGUUGAACAUUCUUAGGAGAAGCUGCCCUUGGGGAAGCAACCCUUGGAGAUGCAGCUCUGGGG